This 468-nucleotide ribosomal RNA is filed under the name uncultured bacterium. RNAcentral describes it as "partial 16S ribosomal RNA". It matches the Rfam family "Bacterial small subunit ribosomal RNA", at positions 28 to 507 of the family's 1533-position model. The record is from RNAcentral.
GACGAACGCUGGCGGCGUGCUUAACACAUGCAAGUCGAACGGAAAGGCCCUGCUUUUGUGGGGUGCUCGAGUGGCGAACGGGUGAGUAACACGUGAGUAACCUGCCCUUGACUUUGGGAUAACUUCAGGAAACUGGGGCUAAUACCGGAUAGGAGCUCCUGCUGCAUGGUGGGGGUUGGAAAGUUUCGGCGGUUGGGGAUGGACUCGCGGCUUAUCAGCUUGUUGGUGGGGUAGUUGCUUACCAAGGCUUUGACGGGUAGCCGGCCUGAGAGGGUGACCGGCCACAGUGGGACUGAGAUACGGCCCAGACUCCUACGGGAGGCAGCAGGGGGGAAUAUUGCACAAUGGGCGGAAGCCUGAUGCAGCAACGCCGCGUGCGGGAUGACGGCCUUCGGGUUGUAAACCGCUUUCGCCUGUGACGAAGCGUGAGUGACGGUAAUGGGUAAAGAAGCACCGGCUAACUACGUG